This 539-nucleotide ribosomal RNA is filed under the name uncultured bacterium. RNAcentral's name for it is "bacterial SSU rRNA". It matches the Rfam family "Bacterial small subunit ribosomal RNA", at positions 8 to 518 of the family's 1533-position model. The record is from RNAcentral.
AGAGUUUGAUUAUGGCUCAGAACGAACGCUGGCGGCGUGGAUUAGGCAUGCAAGUCGAACGGGACUUUAUGUUGUAGCAAUACUUUAUAAAGUCUAGUGGCGUAAGGGUGAGUAACACGUGGGUAAUGUACCCGAUAGUUUGGGAUAACGUUCCGAAAGGGACGCUAAUACCGGAUGUGAUGUUAGACCGCCGGGUUUAACAAGGAAGGUGGGGACCGCAAGGCCUGCCGCUAACGGAACGGCCCGCGACCUAUUAGCUAGUUGGUGGGGUAAAGGCCUACCAAGGCGAGGAUGGGUAGCCGAACUGAGAGGUUGACCGGCCACACUGGGACUGAGACACUGCCCAGACUUCUACGGAAGGCUGCAGUCGAGAAUCAUUCACAAUGGACGAAAGUCUGAUGAUGCGACGCCGCGUGCGCGAUGAAGGUCUUCGGAUUGUAAAGCGCUUUGAACAGGGAAGAAUGCCGCGUAUUUAAUAGAUAACGCGGAGGGACAGUACCUGACAAACAAGCCCCGGCUAAUUUCGUGCCAGCAGCAGC